This 466-nucleotide ribosomal RNA is filed under the name uncultured bacterium. RNAcentral's name for it is "partial 16S ribosomal RNA". It matches the Rfam family "Bacterial small subunit ribosomal RNA", at positions 28 to 507 of the family's 1533-position model. The record is from RNAcentral.
GACGAACGCUGGCGGCGCGCCUAACACAUGCAAGUCGAACGAGCGAGAGAGAGCUUGCUUUCUCAAGCGAGUGGCGAACGGGUGAGUAACGCGUGAGGAACCUGCCUCAAAGAGGGGUACAACAGUUGGAAACGACUGUUAAUACCGCAUAAGCCCACGACCCGGCAUCGGGUAGAGGGAAAAGGAGCAAUCCGCUUUGAGAUGGCCUCGCGUCCGAUUAGCUAGUUGGUGAGGUAACGGCCCACCAAGGCGACGAUCGGUAGCCGGACUGAGAGGUUGAACGGCCACAUUGGGACUGAGACACGGCCCAGACUCCUACGGGAGGCAGCAGUGGGGAAUAUUGCACAAUGGGGGAAACCCUGAUGCAGCGACGCCGCGUGGAGGAAGAAGGUCUUCGGAUUGUAAACUCCUGUUGUUGAGGAAGAUAAUGACGGUACUCAACAAGGAAGUGACGGCUAACUACGUG